GGCUAACGCUGGCGGCGUGUCUUAGCCAUGCAAGUCGAGCGGACUUAUGGGGUAACUUAUAAGUCAGCGGCGGACGGCGGAGUAACACGUAGCUAACCUACCCUCUGGACGGGGAUAACCUACCGAAAGGUGGGCUAAUACCCGAUGUAGUCAUCCUGUAUAGGGGUGAUGAAAGGUGGGCUUCUGUUUACAAGCUCAUGCUGGAGGAGGGGGCUGCGGCCUAUCAGGUAGUUGGUAGGGUAAUAGCCUACCAAGCCGAUGACGGGUAGCCGGCCUGAGAGGGUGACCGGCCCGAGGGGCACUGAGAUACGGGUCCCACUCCUACGGGAGGCAGCAGGCUAGAAAUUUGGGCAAUGGGGGAAACCCUGACCCAGUGACGCCGCGUGCAGGAAGGAGCCCUUCGGGGUGUAAACUGCUGUCGUGUAGGGAGAAGGGUACUAAGGUGAACAAUCUUAGUACUUGACGGUACUACAGGAGGAAGCCCAGGCUAACCUCGUGCCAGCAGCCGGGGUAAUAUAGCGUACU
RNAcentral lists this ribosomal RNA (525 nucleotides) under uncultured bacterium. Its description in RNAcentral is "bacterial SSU rRNA". It matches the Rfam family "Bacterial small subunit ribosomal RNA", at positions 28 to 531 of the family's 1533-position model. The record is from RNAcentral.